Molecule: non-coding RNA, 106 nt
Filed under: marine actinobacterium K362
Lineage: Bacteria; Bacillati; Actinomycetota; Actinomycetes
Also listed under: 1 other name
Description: Marine gamma TPP sequence
Rfam family: TPP riboswitch aptamer (THI element)
About the family: Vitamin B(1) in its active form thiamin pyrophosphate (TPP) is an essential coenzyme that is synthesised by coupling of pyrimidine and thiazole moieties in bacteria. The previously detected thiamin-regulatory element, thi box was extended, resulting in a new, highly conserved RNA secondary structure, the THI element, which is widely distributed in eubacteria and also occurs in some archaea. Analysis of operon structures identified a large number of new candidate thiamin-regulated genes, mostly transporters, in various prokaryotic organisms.
Source: RNAcentral
ACUGUACCUGCGGGGUGGCUAGCGCCUGAGAUACCGAAAAUUAUUCGGUGAACCCGUUGAACCUGAACCGGAUAACGCCGGCGUAGGGACAGGCCUAUGAGCUCAA